UACGUAGGGUCCGAGCGUUUGUCCGGAAUUACUGGGCGUAAAGAGCUCGUAGGCGGCUUGUCGCGUCGUGUGUGAAAUCUCAGGGCUCAACUCUGACAUUGCAUACGAUACGGGCAGGCUUGAGUUCGGUAGGGGAGACUGGAAUUCCUGGUGUAGCGGUGAAAUGCGCAGAUAUCAGGAGGAACACCGGUGGCGAAGGCGGGGUCUCUGGGCCGAUACUGACGCUGAGGAGCGAAAAGCGUGGGGGAGCGAACAGG
Molecule: ribosomal RNA, 257 nt
Filed under: uncultured bacterium
Lineage: Bacteria
Description: partial 16S ribosomal RNA
Rfam family: Bacterial small subunit ribosomal RNA
Source: RNAcentral